UUGAAUAUGGGUGAACAUGUGGCUGUCAGAUGAGAUAUGAACCGUGAAAUGCAGUUCAACCUAUCUAAGAAACCACGAACUUCCUUUUCUGUUCUCGGUUCAGGCAUUUCUUUGUAUUGCUUUUUCUUUUUCUUUUUUUUUUCUUUUCUUUCUUUUCUUUCUUUUUAGCAGGAUCAACCUCGAUUCCUCUUAUCCAUUCACAAUAAGCCUCAACAUUUUACCGGACAACACUCCACAAGGGCACUGAUUCGGACUCAACCUCAGUCUGAGUUGCCUC
RNAcentral lists this long non-coding RNA (277 nucleotides) under Lathyrus oleraceus (garden pea). Its description in RNAcentral is "Pisum sativum (pea) long non-coding RNA (PSAT_LNC029544)". The record is from RNAcentral. Lineage: Eukaryota; Viridiplantae; Streptophyta; Magnoliopsida; Fabales; Fabaceae.